CAGCAGGGGCUGCUGCUGCUGCAGGCUGGCUCUUGAGUCCCUGGACCCUCGCACACUGCGGCUGCUGUGGAGGCAGCGAGAACUGGAGAUCCAGGCCUUGCGGUGGGCUGUCCAGAAUGGCAAGGACACCCGGCUCUGCCACAUCCUGGAGGAGGUGGCAGGGAUUCCACCCAACAGGUCUGCAGCACAGUCCCCAACCAACCCAACCCUGCCCUGUCCUCGCCCAGACUGCUGGUUUCUGUCUGACCCCAAUCCCAACCGCUGAGUCAGAUCCUUACCCUCAUCCUUGCCCACGCUGACCCUCCACCCUGAUCCUAAGUUAACACGCUAUAGCCUCAACCCUAACCCUGCGCAUGUGGAUGGGUGCUAGACCCCUGCCCAGACCAGCCGGAGGCUGGUCGGCCCCAGUGGGGCUGUGCUGUGUGCCCUUGGGGCCAAGGUGGCAGUGGAGCCCCUCCUCCCCUCCUUCGCCACUGACCUGGUAUUAGGAACCCCUGCCUGAGCCAGGUGAGGGCAGCUGAGGUCGCCCCUCCUCCAGGAGCUCCCACAGUCAGGAGAAGUUCCUGCAGAACCAGGUCCAGAAGCUGACCCUGGAGUUGAAGGAACAGAAGGAGCGAGCCCAGUGGGAGAAGGAGCACCUGGAGGAGCGGCUAUUGCAGACCACCCGCACGCUCCAGGAGGUGGAGGCCGAGCUGCAGAACUUGCAGAAGUCCUGCCUCCUGCAGCUGGCCCGCUCCUCGUGGGUGGGCCGCAUGCUACGAUCCCAGACUGGCAGUGUGGAGGUGAGCCUGUCCCCAAGUCCUCCUGCCCCAGGCUGCCCUCCCUAGCCCUCCCCUCUCAUCGGGUGCCUCUGCUGGGGUGCCCUGGCCUGCCUGGAAACCUGCCCUGCUCAGGCUGCCUCUGGAACUCUGGGCUCCAGCAGGGAGGAAUCAGGAGGCCUCAAAGCACAGGUGGUGACGGCAGAGACUCUGAUGGACCCAAGUGACCUCUCUGAAAACAUUCAGGCCCCCACUGGGGAGGGCUUUCGACUGGAGGACGUGGACUGGAACAGCAUUGCCCACCGGUACCCCAACCUCUUCAUCAACAUGGAGCCCAGCUCAAAGCAAAAGCAGCCCCAGCCCUGGCCACAGCUGGACACAGGGAGCUCAGAGUCCUCUGGAAAGCACUCUGAGCGGCAUCACAAGACGGUGGAGUGGGGCUGCCUGCCCUGUCUGAACACCAGCAGCUCAGGGGGCGCUGACUCGGACUCCAGCAGCUACCGGCCGGGCCUGCCUUCCCUCGUGCAGGUGGUAGGGCACCCACCCCGGGACCACCGCGCUUCCUCCAAUCAGGCGCUGGUACAGGCCAGGAGCUCCAGCAGGGACUUGGAAGAUCUCCAGAAAACCCACUCACCCAGGCACGGCGAGCCAGUCCUGGCGCCCCAGCCCUGCACAGACCCUGACCGUCGGAGCCCGGAACACCUGCAGAGCCCGAUAGGCCUGAAGAUCGUGGCCGUGAGCUGCCGGGAGAAGUUCGUCCGCAUCUUCAACCCGUCGCUGGAGAGCACGGCCGACCUGAGCUGCAUGGUGCUGAAGCAGCUGGUGCGCGGCUUGCCAGAGCGCCUGUACCGCUUCCCGCCGGGCACGCUGCUGGCCCCGCGGCACCACAUCACGGUGCGCCUCGGCCCGGGAGCCCGGCCCCGACGGCCCGGC
This 1691-nucleotide long non-coding RNA is filed under the name Rhinopithecus bieti (black snub-nosed monkey). RNAcentral's name for it is "lncRNA (ENSRBIG00000046490.1)". The record is from RNAcentral. Lineage: Eukaryota; Metazoa; Chordata; Mammalia; Primates; Cercopithecidae.